RNAcentral lists this ribosomal RNA (253 nucleotides) under uncultured bacterium. RNAcentral's name for it is "partial 16S ribosomal RNA". It matches the Rfam family "Bacterial small subunit ribosomal RNA", at positions 524 to 776 of the family's 1533-position model. The record is from RNAcentral.
GACAGAGGCCCCAAGCGUUAGGCGGAAUCACUGGGCUUAAAGCGUGUGUAGGCGGACGCCUAAGUGUCUUGUGAAAUCCCACGGCUCACCCGUGGAACUGCUGGGCAUACUGGGCGUCUUGGGCCAACUAGGGGCAGCCGGAACAAGCGGUGGAGCGGUGAAAUGUGUAGAUAUCGCUUGGAACGCCGAAGGUGAAAACAGGCUGCUGGGGUUGCGCCGACGCUGAGACACGAAAGCCAGGGGAGCAAACGGG